UGAAAAGAUUGACAUAGAUGCUAACUA
This 27-nucleotide non-coding RNA is filed under the name Bombyx mori (domestic silkworm). Lineage: Eukaryota; Metazoa; Arthropoda; Insecta; Lepidoptera; Bombycidae. The record is from RNAcentral.